RNAcentral lists this transfer RNA (73 nucleotides) under Ricinus communis (castor bean). It matches the Rfam family "tRNA". From Rfam's summary of the family: Transfer RNA (tRNA) molecules are approximately 80 nucleotides in length. Their secondary structure includes four short double-helical elements and three loops (D, anti-codon, and T loops). Lineage: Eukaryota; Viridiplantae; Streptophyta; Magnoliopsida; Malpighiales; Euphorbiaceae. The record is from Rfam by way of RNAcentral.
CGCGGGGUAGAGCAGCUUGCUAGCUCGCAAGGCUCAUAACCUUGAAGUAAGGGUUCAAAUCCCGUCUCCGCAA